CAACAGGGAUUGCCCUAGUAACGGCGAGUGAAGCGGCAACAGCUCAAAUUUGAAAUCUGGCUCUCGGGCCCGAGUUGUAAUUUGUAGAGGAUACUUUUGAUGCGGUGCCUUCCGAGUUCCCUGGAACGGGACGCCAUAGAGGGUGAGAGCCCCGUCUGGUUGGAUGCCAAAUCUCUGUAAAGUUCCUUCGACGAGUCGAGUAGUAAAGUACGUGAAAUUGUUGAAAGGGAAGCGUUUAUGACCAGACUUGGGCUUGGUUAAUCAUCUGGGGUUCUCCCCAGUGCACUUUUCCAGUCCAGGCCAGCAUCAGUUUUCCCCGGGGGAUAAAGACUUCGGGAAUGUGGCUCUCUUCGGGGAGUGUUAUAGCCCGUUGUGUAAUACCCUGGGGGGGACUGAGGUUCGCGCAUCUGCAAGGAU
Molecule: ribosomal RNA, 417 nt
Filed under: Fusarium concentricum
Lineage: Eukaryota; Fungi; Ascomycota; Sordariomycetes; Hypocreales; Nectriaceae
Description: eukaryotic LSU rRNA
Rfam family: Eukaryotic large subunit ribosomal RNA
Source: RNAcentral